This 1329-nucleotide long non-coding RNA is filed under the name Helianthus annuus (common sunflower). Its description in RNAcentral is "hypothetical non coding rna". Lineage: Eukaryota; Viridiplantae; Streptophyta; Magnoliopsida; Asterales; Asteraceae. The record is from RNAcentral.
UAUAUAUAUAUAGGGCUGGGCUCUAUAAGAAACCCCAUCUUUUUUAAAAAACCUUGGAAACCCAACCUCAUCCAUUGAUUCUCUUUCAUCCAACUUGAUCAAUGGCUCUCAUCAUUUUAGUAACAAUUAUAAUUAAAAGAAAUAGUAUAAUGCACAUUUGAAAGUCUGGGAGGGCAUUUUCGGUAGAACAAAACCCACCUUUUGGCAUUGAAAAUGACAAAAUCCACUUGUGUCAUAAUCUCUCUCCUCUUUCUUCUAGUCAAAUCUUUCAAUUAACUAUUAUCUCUCUCCUCUUUCUUCAUCAUUGAAAAGAAGAAAGCUUCAUGGUCUUCAAUGGUGAUCCUUCAAUGGUGAUCUUCAUUUGAAGAUAAUUUCAGCGUCAUGUGGUCUGAAAAAAUCACAAAGACACACGCACGAGUGUGUGUGUGAGAAGAGCGAUGACAAGAUGAAUGUUUUUAGAGAGAGAAAGUUGAUGUUUUAGAUAGAGAAACAACAAUCUUUAUCACAAAGACACACGCACGAGUGUGUGUGUGAGAAGAAGGUUUGAAGAUCUUCUUCGUGUUCAUCGGACGGGUAUAGAUCCGGUAAGUGUUCUUGAAAUAUCAUUUCACACUUGAUUUUUUGUUGAAAUGGUUGUUAAUAUGUUUUUGUGUGCUGAAAGUGUUUUAGUAUUGGUUAAUGGGGUAUCCAUGGUUAAUGUUAAUGUAUUUUAAAUAAAUCAAAAACUUUAGGAUGAGAUUUUGAACGGGUUUUUUUGUUGGUUUAGUUGCUUGUUAGGGGCUUUUGAUCUUAACAGUAGCUGUUUUUUUGUUGGUUUGAGUUGCUUGUUUGGGUUUUUGAUCUGAACAGUAAGUGUUUUUUUUGUUUGGUUACUUGAUUCACAGACUCAGGCCCAUAACACGUGUUAAGCCCCCCUGUUAUAAUGUUAUAUAACGUGUGUUGAUUUACAGAAACAAACCCAUAAAGAUAUUCAAUUAAGAAGCUGGAUGGAUGUAGGAGAAGUUAAUGUGUGUUCUAGUAAUGGUUAAUGUUAAUUAUUUUGUUUUGUUGGGUUGCUUGAUUUACAGAGACAGACCUGUAACAUGUGUUAAGCACCUGUUAGAAUGAUAUAUAACGUGUGUUGAUUUACAGAAACAGAUCCAUAAAAGAUAUUCAAUUGACAAGCUGGAUGGAUGUAGGCGACGUUAAUGCGGGGACAUUGAAUAAGUCACAUCCUUUGGGAAAGAAGUCUUAGUUCAUUUAUAACAUGUGUUAGUGUUUCAUGCUGUAACAGAACACCAUGAUGUAAACCUGACAUGUGUUCAUGUAUAACAUGUGUUAAGCCCCUGU